Molecule: unclassified non-coding RNA, 147 nt
Filed under: uncultured Dothideomycetes
Lineage: Eukaryota; Fungi; Ascomycota; Dothideomycetes
Description: sequence contains ITS2
Source: RNAcentral
AAACUCUCAAGCCCCGCUUGGUAUUGGGUGCGGCCCCCUGGGGGCCCUCCCGCAACCCGUUGGGCGGGACCGUCUGGCUCCAAGCGUAGCAAGAAUCUUCCCUCGCUUCGGAGGCCCGGCGGCCCUCGCCCGGGAACAUCCAUCAAA